This 459-nucleotide ribosomal RNA is filed under the name uncultured bacterium. RNAcentral's name for it is "partial 16S ribosomal RNA". It matches the Rfam family "Bacterial small subunit ribosomal RNA", at positions 338 to 795 of the family's 1533-position model. The record is from RNAcentral.
CCUACGGGAGGCUGCAGUGAGGAAUAUUGGUCAAUGGCCGAGAGGCUGAACCAGCCAAGUCGCGUGAGGGAAGACGGCCCUACGGGUUGUAAACCUCUUUUGUCGGGGAGCAAAGCGAACCACGUGUGGUUCAUUGAGAGUACCCGAAGAAAAAGCAUAGGCUAACUCCGUGACAGCAGCCGCGGUAAUACGGAGGAUGCGAGCGUUAUCCGGAGUUAUGGGGUUGAAAGGGUGCGCAGGCGGAGGUGCAAGUCAGCGGUCAAAUUGCGGGGCUCAACCCCGUACUGCCGUUGAAACUGCAUCACUUGAGUGCGCGAGAAGUAUGCGGAAUGCGUGGUGUAGCGGUGAAAUGCAUAGAUAUCACGCAGAACUCCGAUGGCGAAGGCAGCAUACCGGCGCGCAACUGACGCUCAUGCACGAAAGCGUGGGUAUCGAACAGGAUUAGAUACCCCGGUAGUC